UGGGGAAUAUUGCACAAUGGAGGAAACUCUGAUGCAGCAACGCCGCGUGGAGGAUGACGCAUUUCGGUGUGUAAACUCCUUUUAUAAGGGAAGAUAAUGACGGUACCUUAUGAAUAAGCACCGGCUAACUCCGUGCCAGCAGCCGCGGUAAUACGGUGGGUGCAAGCGUUACUCGGAAUCACUGGGCGUGAAGGAUGCGUAGGCUGGAAAUCAAGUCGAGAGUGAAAUCCAACGGCUUAACCGUUGAACUGCUCUCGAAACUGGUUAACUAGAAUAUGUGAGAGGUAGAUGGAAUUGGUGGUGUAGUGGUAAAAUCCGUAGAUAUCACCAGGAAUACCGAUUGCGAAGGCGAUCUACUGGACUGUAACUGACGCUGGGGCGCGAAAGGGUGGGGAGCAAACA
RNAcentral lists this ribosomal RNA (402 nucleotides) under uncultured prokaryote. RNAcentral describes it as "bacterial SSU rRNA". It matches the Rfam family "Bacterial small subunit ribosomal RNA", at positions 355 to 774 of the family's 1533-position model. The record is from RNAcentral.